UGGCUCAAAAGGUAAAGUAUCUGCCUGCAAUGCAGGAGACCUGGGUUAGAUUCCUGG
RNAcentral lists this transfer RNA (57 nucleotides) under Bos taurus (domestic cattle). It matches the Rfam family "tRNA", at positions 8 to 63 of the family's 71-position model. Rfam says of the family: Transfer RNA (tRNA) molecules are approximately 80 nucleotides in length. Their secondary structure includes four short double-helical elements and three loops (D, anti-codon, and T loops). Further hydrogen bonds mediate the characteristic L-shaped molecular structure. tRNAs have two regions of fundamental functional importance: the anti-codon, which is responsible for specific mRNA codon recognition, and the 3' end, to which the tRNAs corresponding amino acid is attached (by aminoacyl-tRNA synthetases). tRNAs cope with the degeneracy of the genetic code in two manners: having more than one tRNA (with a specific anti-codon) for a particular amino acid; and 'wobble' base-pairing, i.e. permitting non-standard base-pairing at the 3rd anti-codon position. The record is from Rfam by way of RNAcentral. Lineage: Eukaryota; Metazoa; Chordata; Mammalia; Artiodactyla; Bovidae.